UACGUAGGGCGCGAGCGUUGUCCGGAAUUAUUGGGCGUAAAGAGCUCGUAGGCGGUUUGUCGCGUCGGCCGUGAAAACUUGGGGCUUAACUCCAAGUUUGCGGUCGAUACGGGCAGACUUGAGUUCGGCAGGGGAGAGUGGAAUUCCUGGUGUAGCGGUGAAAUGCGCAGAUAUCAGGAGGAACACCGGUGGCGAAGGCGGGUCUCUGGGCCGAUACUGACGCUGAGGAGCGAAAGCGUGGGGGGCGAACAGG
This 253-nucleotide ribosomal RNA is filed under the name uncultured bacterium. RNAcentral describes it as "partial 16S ribosomal RNA". It matches the Rfam family "Bacterial small subunit ribosomal RNA", at positions 524 to 776 of the family's 1533-position model. The record is from RNAcentral.